This is an unclassified non-coding RNA of Ursus americanus (American black bear), 109 nucleotides long. The record is from Ensembl. Lineage: Eukaryota; Metazoa; Chordata; Mammalia; Carnivora; Ursidae.
GAUUCAGAAUCGAUUUCUGGAAGAGGUAAUAAUGAGGCCAUUGAAAGAACUGAAAGCGACAGCCUCUCUCCCCCACAUGUAGGUCCGCAUUCUGAAAUUCCCAGUCAGG